Molecule: ribosomal RNA, 17 nt
Filed under: Colletotrichum truncatum
Lineage: Eukaryota; Fungi; Ascomycota; Sordariomycetes; Glomerellales; Glomerellaceae
Description: partial 18S ribosomal RNA
Source: RNAcentral
GCGGAGGACAUUACUGA